GAUGAACGCUGGCGGCGUGCCUAAUACAUGCAAGUCGAGCGAACAGACGAGGAGCUUGCUCCUCUGACGUUAGCGGCGGACGGGUGAGUAACACGUGGAUAACCUACCUAGAAGACUGGGAUAACUUCGGGAAACCGGAGCUAAUACCGGAUAAUAUAUUGAACCGGAUGGUUCAAUAGUGAAAGAGGGUUUUGCUGUCACUUAUAGAUGGAUCCGUGCCGGAUUAGCUAGUUGGUAAGGUAACGGCGUACCAAGGCAACGAUGCGUAGCCGACCUGAGAGGGUGACCGGCCACACUGGGACUGAGACACGGUCCAGACUCCUACGGGAGGCAGCAGUAGGGAAUCUUCGGCAAUGGGCGAAAGCCUGACGGAGCAACGCCGCGUGAGUGAUGAAGGUCUUCGGAUCGUAAAACUCUGUUAUUAGGGAAGAACAAAUGUGUAAGUAACUAUGCACGUCUUGACGGUACCUAAUCAGAAAGCCACGGCUAACUACGUG
Molecule: ribosomal RNA, 497 nt
Filed under: uncultured bacterium
Lineage: Bacteria
Description: partial 16S ribosomal RNA
Rfam family: Bacterial small subunit ribosomal RNA
Source: RNAcentral